CAAAAAGUCUCAAGGAAGUACUCAGAUUGGUCAGGCUUGAGUUAGGAGCCCUUUAUAGAAUCAUCAAGGAUGGCCAAGAGGUUGGCCCUAUGACUGAUUGCCCCCAUUGGAAAGGAACAAUUGAAAAGGAGGAAGAGGAGUUCUCCAAGAGGAGGCCAAUAUAUUUUGGGGAAGAUGAAAAAGCUUCAUGCCAGACAUAAUGAGACUUUCCAACAGAAAGAGUAGGAAAUAAAGGACUAAACAAAGCUGGGCUGAAAGAUUAUAAAAACAAAUGAGCAAGGGAAGUAGCAAUAAUGUUCGGAUGCUUACCCCAACAAAGGUGAUGAAUGGAAGCAGAAUAAAAAGCAAACCAUACCCUCUGCAUACUUCAAGUUUCUCAAGACAUAAACCUGGCCUGCACUAUGAGGAAGAGGACAUGCUAAACUGAGCACAAUAUGGAAGUUUUAACUGUCAUAAAUUUUGAAUAACUUUAAGUAACCAGAAAUGCAAGCAGUGUGUGAUGGUUAAUACUGAGUAUCAGCUUGAUUGGACUGAAG
This 536-nucleotide long non-coding RNA is filed under the name Rhinopithecus bieti (black snub-nosed monkey). RNAcentral describes it as "lncRNA (ENSRBIG00000045163.1)". Lineage: Eukaryota; Metazoa; Chordata; Mammalia; Primates; Cercopithecidae. The record is from RNAcentral.